Molecule: long non-coding RNA, 728 nt
Filed under: Equus caballus (horse)
Lineage: Eukaryota; Metazoa; Chordata; Mammalia; Perissodactyla; Equidae
Description: lncRNA (ENSECAG00000056124.1)
Source: RNAcentral
GUUCUCUAUCUGCACUGCUGAGUAGGUAACCAUAAGCCACAGGGGCUAUUGAGUACUUAAAAUGUGUGGCUUGAGUGACUGAGAAAUUGAAUUUUAAAUUUUAUUUAAUUUUAAUUUAAACUUGAAUAGCUCCAUGUGACUAGUGGCUACUAUUGGACAACACCGUUCUAGAAAGAUCAUUUGGAGAAUGGAUUGAAGGUGAUUUGGAGGUAUGGGAGACUGAAGGGAGGAACACAGAAGGUACCCUCCCAGAUGAAAAGACGCCUACCACAGCAUGGCUUGCCAAGCGGUGUCAUGUCCGCACCCGGGAUCCAAACCAGAGAACCCCAGGCCACCGAGAAGUGGAUCAUGAGAACUUAACCGCUACGCCACCAGGCCGGCCCCGGAUCUGGGACUUUUUAAGACAUGGAAAAAUGUUUUUGUUAUAAUGUUGACUAAAAUAAGAAUAUGAUUUCAAUGACAAAAAAAAAGGAAAUAAACUGAAAAAUGUCAUUAUUUUCCCCAUGUAUACAGCAGAAAUUAUUUGAUCUCUAGACAUUAUGCAAUCAUGGUAGUUGGUGGUUAGGGUGAGAAUAAAUGCUUAUAUCUAUAUGUGUAUCGAAGGUACUCAUCCAUUUUAAAAACAUUUAUAAACAUUGGAGUGGAAAUAAAUCCCUAUUUAUAUGCGUAUGAGUGUCAUGUAUACUCAUUCCUUCCACAAAUAUUUAUAAAUGCCUACCAGAUGCCAG